This 429-nucleotide ribosomal RNA is filed under the name Actinomycetes bacterium. RNAcentral's name for it is "Actinobacteria bacterium partial 16S ribosomal RNA". It matches the Rfam family "Bacterial small subunit ribosomal RNA", at positions 355 to 776 of the family's 1533-position model. Lineage: Bacteria; Bacillati; Actinomycetota; Actinomycetes. The record is from RNAcentral.
UAGGGAAUCUUCCGCAAUGGGCGAAAGCCUGACGGAGCAACGCCGCGUGAGUGAUGAAGGUCUUCGGAUCGUAAAACUCUGUUAUUAGGGAAGAACAAAUGUGUAAGUAACUAUGCACGUCUUGACGGUACCUAAUCAGAAAGCCACGGCUAACUACGUGCCAGCAGCCGCGGUAAUACGUAGGUGGCAAGCGUUAUCCGGAAUUAUUGGGCGUAAAGCGCGCGUAGGCGGUUUUUUAAGUCUGAUGUGAAAGCCCACGGCUCAACCGUGGAGGGUCAUUGUAAACUGGACAACUUGAGUGCAGAAGAGGAAAGUGGAAUUCCAUGUGUAGCGGUGAAAUGCGCAGAGAUAUGGAGGAACACCAGUGGCGAAGGCGACUUUCUGGUCUGUAACUGACGCUGAUGUGCGAAAGCGUGGGGAUCAAACAGG